AGUGGAAUUGCUGGGUCAUAUGGAAACUCUCUGUUAAAACAGUUUGAGGAACUAUCAGAUUGUUUUCUGAAGCAGCUGUACCAUAUUACAUUCCCACAAGCAAC
RNAcentral lists this microRNA precursor (104 nucleotides) under Marmota monax (woodchuck). Lineage: Eukaryota; Metazoa; Chordata; Mammalia; Rodentia; Sciuridae. The record is from RNAcentral.